GUUGGAAAAUCUCUUUUCUUUCAAGCUAAUCAGAAUAGAAGGUGUACCUUAGUGGUCUCCCUGAAGAAACCAUUUGAGGAGCUGCCAAGGACUUUGGAUUAUCAAGUAGCAGAGAAAUAUGAAGAAAGAUAAACAUCUUGAUUGUCUGAACAAAAAGGAAAGAAUGCUACUAUACAUGCAAAGGUAGAGAAGGCAUAACAAAGAAAUUGUAGGGAGUCCAACAACAUUUCUGAAUACUACUAAAAAGCACAGGAGCAAGCAUACAACCCUGCUUUACUGCAUUGGUGAAUGGGAAAUCAUGUGAGCUUCAUUCAAUAUCCAGAACCUGUGCACACAUGCUUUAAUGGUGCUGAUGCUCAAUACUGAUGAACUUCUCUGGACACCAAAUUUUGCCAUAAUAUUCCAUUCAUGGCAUGUCUGACUGACAUCAUCAAAGGCAGCAAACCUCACAUCAGUUAUUCCUUGGCUACUAUGACUCUCAAGUAAAUAAUUAUCUUCUUGUUGUUAUCAGGUUAUUAAAGAGAACUCUGGCAAGAAUAUUGUCAAAAUUAAAUAAAAGACAGACUAUACCCUG
Molecule: long non-coding RNA, 574 nt
Organism: Monodelphis domestica (gray short-tailed opossum)
Lineage: Eukaryota; Metazoa; Chordata; Mammalia; Didelphimorphia; Didelphidae
Source: RefSeq, a predicted model, not a curated record